GACGAACGCUGGCGGCGUGCUUAACACAUGCAAGUCGAACGGAAAGGCCCAGCUUGCUGGAGUACUCGAGUGGCGAACGGGUGAGUAACACGUGGGUAAUCUGCCCUGCACUCUGGGAUAAGCCUGGGAAACUGGGUCUAAUACUGGAUAUGACCUUUCUCCUUAUGGGGUUUGGUGGAAAGUUUUUCGGUGUAGGAUGAGCUCGCGGCCUAUCAGCUUGUUGGUGGGGUGAUGGCCUACCAAGGCGACGACGGGUAGCCGGCCUGAGAGGGUGAUCGGCCACAUUGGGACUGAGAUACGGCCCAGACUCCUACGGGAGGCAGCAGUGGGGAAUAUUGCACAAUGGGCGGAAGCCUGAUGCAGCGACGCCGCGUGAGGGAUGACGGCCUUCGGGUUGUAAACCUCUUUCAGCAGGGACGAAGCGUAAGUGACGGUACCUGCAGAAGAAGCACCGGCUAACUACGUG
Molecule: ribosomal RNA, 466 nt
Filed under: uncultured bacterium
Lineage: Bacteria
Description: partial 16S ribosomal RNA
Rfam family: Bacterial small subunit ribosomal RNA
Source: RNAcentral